CGUUGUUCGGAGUUACUGGGCGUAAAGGGUGCGUAGGCGGCUUUUUAAGUUUGGUGUGAAAUCUCCCGGCUCAACUGGGAGGGUGCGCCGAAUACUGAGAUGGCUAGAGUGUGGGAGAGGAAAGUGGAAUUCCUGGUGUAGCGGUGAAAUGCGUAGAUAUCAGGAGGAACACCGGUGGUGUAAACGGCUUUCUGGACCAUAACUGACGCUGAUGCACGAAAGCGUGGGUAGCAAACAGGAUUAGAUACCCUGGUAGUCCACGCCCUAAACGAUGCAUAUUUGGUGUGGGCCAUUCAUUUGGUCUGUGCCGGAGCUAACGCGUUAAAUAUGCCGCCUGGGGAGUACAGUCGCAAGGCUGAAACUCAAAGGAAUUGAC
Molecule: ribosomal RNA, 376 nt
Filed under: uncultured Acidobacteriota bacterium
Lineage: Bacteria; Pseudomonadati; Acidobacteriota
Description: bacterial SSU rRNA
Rfam family: Bacterial small subunit ribosomal RNA
Source: RNAcentral